UUCCAGACUCCUACGGGAGGCAGCAGUGAGGAAUAUUGGUCAAUGGGCGGGAGCCUGAACCAGCCAAGUCGCGUGAGGGAUGACGGCCCUACGGGUUGUAAACCUCUUUUGUCGGGGAGCAAAUUCCGCCACGUGUGGCGGAGUCGAGAGUACCCGAAGAAAAAGCAUCGGCUAACUCCGUGCCAGCAGCCGCGGUAAUACGGAGGAUGCGAGCGUUAUCCGGAUUUAUUGGGUUUAAAGGGUGCGUAGGCGGGAUGCCAAGUCAGCGGUAAAAAUGCGGUGCUCAACGCCGGCGAGCCGUUGAAACUGGCGUUCUUGAGUGGGCGAGAAGUAUGCGGAAUGCGUGGUGUAGCGGUGAAAUGCAUAGAUAUCACGCAGAACUCCGAUUGCGAAGGCAGCAUACCGGCGCCCAACUGACGCUGAAGCACGAAAGCGUGGGUAUCGAACAGGAUUAGAUACCCCUGUAGU
This 468-nucleotide ribosomal RNA is filed under the name uncultured bacterium. Its description in RNAcentral is "bacterial SSU rRNA". It matches the Rfam family "Bacterial small subunit ribosomal RNA", at positions 329 to 794 of the family's 1533-position model. The record is from RNAcentral.